UUGGUGUGGGGGCAGUUUUUAUGUUCUAUAAUACAAAGCAUACUAAAUGGAAUAAAUGGAAAUUUAGAGUCACAGUUAAACAUUCGACUUAUGUCUUCUCUUUUAAGCAUUUUAAACUACCUCUAUUAUAUUGAUUUUUAGAAGAAUUGUUUUCUAAAGAAAACUGCUUCCUGAUGUUGGCGCAGGUGGGCUCUCUGUGAUAUCUGCGGCCAUGGUAGUCCAUUUUUCCUACUAACUUUGUUAAUGUCCUGAGAAAAACUAGAAAUUUGAAUAGUGCUGUGUUUAGUCAUUCCUCCCAAUGCCAGUGAUCCCUUAAAUCUGGGUGUUGUCCAUCAUCAUCCCUGCCCGUCUCCGUGCAUCCACAACUGCCACAUCCUGAGAGCUCAGUCCAUCAUAAAUGCAAUUAUAGCCUUUUACCUCCUCCUCACCAGAUACUCUCUACAGGGCAAGUUCAUCAAACUGUGUGCUUAGAAGCUCUGGAGCAGAACUCUCACCCACCAGAAGAUUGCCUCAAGAGAUAAAAGAUGAUUUACAACCCAAAGUAUGCCCACUAGAGGUUUUGGCCAUUUUUACAAUGUAUUCCUGCCCAUGAAGAUGCCAACUUGACUGCCCAAUACAUAAAGCACCAAAGCAAGUAUGCGGACCCCCCCACACCUCCUCACUUCUGCUCCUGUGUAGACCCCCAUCUUUAAAAGCACUUACUUUCUCCUGCAAAAGCAAAUCAGACCCUUACAGCAGGAAGGCUUUUCUUCUUCUCCUAAACUAGCUUUGGAAUAAAAAGUUAUUUUCUUUA
RNAcentral lists this long non-coding RNA (793 nucleotides) under Homo sapiens (human). RNAcentral describes it as "HSALNT0380712". Lineage: Eukaryota; Metazoa; Chordata; Mammalia; Primates; Hominidae. The record is from RNAcentral.